Trichoplusia ni (cabbage looper) is the source of this 435-nucleotide long non-coding RNA. RefSeq lists it as uncharacterized. NCBI's taxonomy places the organism in Eukaryota, Metazoa, Arthropoda, Insecta, Lepidoptera, Noctuidae. The transcript is spliced from 3 exons. The record is from RefSeq and is a predicted model, not a curated record.
AAUCCCCGCUGCCGCCCCCGCUACCGCUUACACCUGACACCGCCUACUAUCUGUCAAUGAAUCACAUCGGCGCGGUAGUACGAGCGAGCGCAGUUUCACUACCGCCUCACUCCGCCUCGGUCCAAUGUACCCGUUCACAACAACAAAAACAACCGACAUUCACGAAGAAGUAACCCCUAGGAAAAGUGAUAUAGUUGGUGAAUAUUGAAUGUAUUUAAGUGUUGUUUCAAAGUGAAUUUGUGAUAGAAAGUGAAUGUGUGAAAUUAAAUGAAGGAAUGGUGUCGAGAGCUCCCGGCUAGAGUGACGUCACGAGUGUCAUAUGCGGCCACUAUGUGAACGAUUCCACCAUGCUGCUCAAGCUAUGCAAGUCAUGCCAGUACUGUCUGGAGACGAUGUACUGGAACUGUUGUGAGGAGCGGUUCUGUUUCGAUAAGA